AGAGGUCCCGCCUGCCCUGUGACUGUAAGUUUAACGGCCGCGGUAUUUUGACCGUGCAAAGGUAGCGCAAUCACUUGUCUUUUAAAUGGAGACCUGUAUGAAUGGCAUAACGAGGGCUUAACUGUCUCCUCUUUCGAGUCAAUGAAAUUAAUCUCCCCGUGCAGAAGCGGGGAUAGUCCCACAAGACGAGAAGACCCUAUGAAGCUUUAGACAAAAAGUAGACCACGCCGAACAAUCUAAAACCAAAAGAUAAGAGCCUAACGACCCCCUACCCGACUGUCUUCGGUUGGGGCGACCACGGGGUAAAAUAAACCCCCCGCGUAGAACGGGACUAUUCUGUCCUAGGGCUGAGAACCCCCGCUCCAAGCAACAGAACCUUUCUGACUAACCAGAUCCGGCUUAGCCGAUCUACGGACCGAGUUACUCUAGGGAUAACAGCGCAAUCCCCUUCUAGAGUCCCUAUCGACAAGGGGGUUUACGACCUCGAUGUUGGAUCAGGACAUCCUAAUGGUGCAGCCGCUAUUAAGGG
Molecule: ribosomal RNA, 529 nt
Filed under: Cirrhilabrus rubrisquamis
Lineage: Eukaryota; Metazoa; Chordata; Actinopteri; Labriformes; Labridae
Description: partial 16S ribosomal RNA
Rfam family: Bacterial large subunit ribosomal RNA
Source: RNAcentral